UACAGAGGUGGCAAGCGUUGUUCGGAAUUACUGGGCGUAAAGCGUGCGCAGGCGGUUUUAUAAGCCAGAUGUGAAAUCCCCGGGCUUAACCUGGGAACUGCAUUUGUGACUGUAAGACUAGAGUGCGGCAGAGGGGGGUAGAAUUCCACGUGUAGCAGUGAAAUGCGUAGAUAUGUGGAGGAAUACCGAUGGCGAAGGCAGCCCCCUGGGUCGACACUGACGCUCAUGCACGAAAGCGUGGGGAGCAAACAGG
This 253-nucleotide ribosomal RNA is filed under the name uncultured bacterium. RNAcentral describes it as "partial 16S ribosomal RNA". It matches the Rfam family "Bacterial small subunit ribosomal RNA", at positions 524 to 776 of the family's 1533-position model. The record is from RNAcentral.